UGAUAUCCAUGGACACUUUUA
This 21-nucleotide non-coding RNA is filed under the name Caenorhabditis elegans. The record is from RNAcentral. Lineage: Eukaryota; Metazoa; Nematoda; Chromadorea; Rhabditida; Rhabditidae.